Molecule: ribosomal RNA, 253 nt
Filed under: uncultured bacterium
Lineage: Bacteria
Description: partial 16S ribosomal RNA
Rfam family: Bacterial small subunit ribosomal RNA
Source: RNAcentral
GACGGGGGGUCCAAGCGUUGUUCGGAAUCACUGGGCGUAAAGCGGGUGUAGGUGGCUAGGCAAGUUGGAUGUGAAAGCCCCGGGCUCAACCCGGGAAGUGCAUCCAAAACUACUUAGCUUGAGUAAGGGAGAGGAUAGGAGAAUUCUUGGUGUAGUGGUGAAAUACGUAGAUAUCAAGAGGAACACCGGUGGCGAAGGCGCCUAUCUGGCCCAUUACUGACACUCAGACCCGAAAGCGUGGGUAGCAAACAGG